UACGUAGGUGGCAAGCGUUAUCCGGAAUUAUUGGGCGUAAAGCGCGCGUAGGCGGUUUUUUAAGUCUGAUGUGAAAGCCCACGGCUCAACCGUGGAGGGUCAUUGGAAACUGGAAAACUUGGGUGCAGAAGAGGAAAGUGGAAUUCCAUGUGUAGCGGUGAAAUGCGCAGAUAUCAGGAGGAACACCGGUGGCGAAGGCGGGUCUCUGGGCAGUAACUGACGCUGAUGUGCGAAAGCGUGGGGAUCAAACAGG
RNAcentral lists this ribosomal RNA (253 nucleotides) under uncultured bacterium. RNAcentral describes it as "partial 16S ribosomal RNA". It matches the Rfam family "Bacterial small subunit ribosomal RNA", at positions 524 to 776 of the family's 1533-position model. The record is from RNAcentral.